This 708-nucleotide ribosomal RNA is filed under the name Globigerinoides elongatus. RNAcentral's name for it is "SSU rRNA". It matches the Rfam family "Eukaryotic small subunit ribosomal RNA", at positions 1316 to 1670 of the family's 1831-position model. The record is from RNAcentral. Lineage: Eukaryota; Foraminifera; Rotaliida; Globigerinidae.
UGCUUAAUUGCGUUUCAAAAUUUAAACCUGAGCGACAAGGUGCUGCUAUCGAAACUGUCUUUGAGUGUGAACUAUAAGUCUUUUGACUUAUGACCAUCACUCUAGACGUUUAUGUUUUGGUGUUGGCCCUUGAUGCUCAUUUGAACGCAACGGACGUGAUUGCAACCCCUUGUUGAGAUUUAUCCGAUCUCUACGUUCACUGAACCACACUCUUUAGCGAGAGCAGUGGGGAUGUGGAUAAACUCGGGGGACUGCUGACUAUAAACUUUUCUCAAACCAGAGGAAGGUUGCGGCAAUAACAGGUCUGUGAUGCCCUCAGAUGUUCCGGGCUGCACACGUGCUACAUUUAGUAGCGCAGUGUGCACAUUAAUAGAGUGAUAGGUUCCGUGGUUUGUACAUUUUAAGGGCUCGUCCUAGUAACCAAAGCUCCACGGGACAUAUCAACCUUCCCCUUACAGGGCGGGUAACCUCUUCGAAGUGCUGGCAUGAUUUCCCUAGUUUUGGCAUUUGAAUCCUUGUCGCAGCAGCCCUGAGACGUAGUGAACGCUGCAAAGUGAUUCCAGUCUUAGGUUUGCGACACAUGCAAUUCCUGGUUGACUCAUCGUGGGGACUGAUUCUUGUAAUUAUUUUUCACGGUUCAACCAGGAAUGCCUUGUACCGGCGGCUCAUUAAACCGCUGGGAAUACGUCCCUGCCCUUUGUACACACC